CCAUAUUUGAAUGCAGGACAGCAGCUUGAGCUGUCAAACGUCAACGCUCCCACGAGCAUGCGUGGCGUGCACACCUUCUUCAUGAGGAUGCUGCUCAGUCGUCAGGGAAGCAGGUGAUGCGCUGGACCAAUUGCUGGCCUGAUGAUGCUGGCAAGUAACAGUAUGGCCACUUACAAAAAUGCAACUUCUUUGUCAAAUGGAAUUUGACCUUGUGUAUUGAUCAAAAUGCAAUAACAUAGCUACAACAGUUGAACAGUAAGUUACAGGCUGUUUAAUGACAUCUGUUCUGUAGUUUACCAUAAUUGCAGAUGUGCCGCCAUUCAAUCACCCCGUUGCCCUGUCAGGAAACCAAACAUAGGCUCUCAUGGAAGAGCAUAUUCAUAGAAUAUGAUUAGCCUACUGUGCGCAUUGUGUAUAAUUGCAUAGGCUUUUUUUGCUGUGUUGCAUUUUCCCCAUGCUGUAUUAAGUUUAGUUUGCUACCAUUACUAUUAUCUGUACUAUUGAUUGGAUACAUCUGACAAUGCUCUUGGACACAGUGAUGUAACUUGGGGUCAUUCUGUGUUUCGGGUCUUUCAACAUCAGGCCCCCUCACCAAGGCGACCUAGGGAGAAGCUCAAUUGGUUUUGCUCGACUCAUAUCGCCUCUCUCCUGCUUUGAAAAAGAGAAAAAAGCUGUGGCGGAUUUUUUUUAAACUUCCGUGCUAGAUGUCAUAAGGAUACUCUUGAUCAUCAGGAAAUGGAGGUGGUGAACAGGCUCCUCUGUUCAUCUACUAACGAAUUGAUACUCACCUGGAGCACUCGACCACUUCUCGUUUCCGGGUCAUGGAGGAGAAGAUGACGGAGGAGUUGAGGACUGACUUUUCCCAAUUGAGAAUCUCCCCUUGCCUUACAGAGAUGAAGGGUUGACGCCUUCAGUCCUCUCCUCUGUUGCAGUCUGGGGAAAUGGGUCCUCUGCUGCAGUCUUCUGGUACCAACUACUGUUUUCAACGACAACAUUACUCAAAACACUGUUAGACAUCUCCAUUUGCACAAUUCUCCUGAAAGAAUUAAGCUGAUUCUGUGGGAAUAUCAUGUAAUUUUUUGGGCCAGGAUGUGCAGGAUCUUUUAAAUUCCUGCAGGAUAAGGCCAAUUAAGCAGGUGUCCUAUCAAAGAAUUUAUUCAAUUAUACAGGAUUCCUGCAGGAAUUGUUGCCUUUGUUUAGUAACUGUGUAGGUCUUUAGGACUUUUUUGCAAGGGUAGAUAAUCUUACCUUAUCUGUAGAGGCAGUAGCGUCACUUGCUGUCUAAUGAUGAUGGGUGGAUCGUGGUCUGAGGGGAGGAGAAAAGGUACAUGGCUUUGGGAGGAGUCUGUGUAUGCAUUUCUUAAAAUUUUCCAGUUUUCCAUGCCCUGCUAUCCCAAUUCCCAGUAGUGAUGGAUUAUCAGCAUUUGGCAUUUUCUGUUUGCAAAACCAUAUUCAAAGUGAAAACAAUUAGGUAUAAAUACAUACACACACACAC
Oncorhynchus mykiss (rainbow trout) is the source of this 1495-nucleotide non-coding RNA. The record is from RefSeq and is a predicted model, not a curated record. Lineage: Eukaryota; Metazoa; Chordata; Actinopteri; Salmoniformes; Salmonidae.